This 125-nucleotide ribosomal RNA is filed under the name Monodelphis domestica (gray short-tailed opossum). The record is from RNAcentral. Lineage: Eukaryota; Metazoa; Chordata; Mammalia; Didelphimorphia; Didelphidae.
UUCUAUAGCCAUGUUCACCCUGAAGGUGCCCCCAUCUCAGCUGAUCUAGGAAGCUAAGCAUGGUAUGGGCAGGUUGGUACUUGAAUGGGAGAUUGCCUGGGAACACAUAAGUGGUGCCAUAGAGC